Long non-coding RNA from Lycium barbarum (goji berry), 2300 nucleotides. RefSeq lists it as uncharacterized. The record is from RefSeq and is a predicted model, not a curated record. The transcript has 2 exons. Lineage: Eukaryota; Viridiplantae; Streptophyta; Magnoliopsida; Solanales; Solanaceae.
UUUCCGCCUCCUUCAUCAUCAUCAUCUUCUCCUUUUUCUCUCCCUUCCCUUUCUCACUCAUCUCUCUCUCUCCACGCUCUCUUCCACUUCCCCUGUCACCCACGUUAUCCGCUCCUCUCCACUUCCCCUUGUCCCCCACGCCGCUGACUCAUACGCUCCCCUCUCCUCUUUCUUAAACCCUAAUCACAACCUUAUAAAAGGAUGGGAAAAUCACAGUGUUAGGGAUCCGAACAUGAGAAGAGGAUUUGGAACCCAGAAAAUCCCUUACAAAACAUCAAUUUUGAUCAAUGAUAUAGCCACAUAUUACUCUAUUUUUUACUUUCGAAUCCGAAGCCUUAAUUACUUUAAUCGUUUUUUGAGUUCGAGUAGAUUCGAGGACACUCAACAUUUUCCUAUCUCUUUGACUACUACUUUAAAUCUGGAAUUUGCUCGAAUUUUGUUCUGUUUCAGUUCUUUGGCAGCCACUUUAACCAUUCCUAAUUAUUUUACAUUUUUCAGUCACUAUACUUGGGAACACCCAUUUGAAAAUUAAGUCGUUUUACUCUUUCGGUUUGUUACUUUAAGAUCGAGUGUAGAUCGGAGACUCGACGCCCCGUUCACUGCACCUACAAAAGGUCGGUGCAAUCCCUCUCUUCCUCCCUUUUUAGUUCGAUUUGAUUUUGAUGUGUAUUCGUGAUUCCUUAUUUGUGUAUGUACAAUGCUUUUAGUUUAUUACGUAAUCUUCUCAUCUUAAGUAUUUUAUGUUUAGUUCAAUCCUCAUUUCAUGUAGAUUAGAGUAGCUUUUUUUUUUUUUUAGUUUUAUCAGAAUUAGAUAAGUAAUUUUCUUCCUCGUAUUAGUAUUUUUAGUUUUCGUGUGCUUCCGACUUCGUGUGUAUUAGUUUAAUUUCCAUGUUGUUAAGAGUUAGAUAAAUACUUUUAUUCUCUGUCUUAGCAACUCUUGCAGUUCUAUGUAUUUUCCCCUUUUGUGUAGAAUGGCUUAAUCUUGAUAAAGUAUAUGUUAGAACCAUGAGGUCUGCUGAUUACAUUGUAAAUGGUUGUUGAACCUGUUAUAUUUGUUGUAGUGUUUCCAUGUGGCAGAAAUCGCAUUUUUGUGAUGCUCUAUUCCUUAGACUAUCUAAUUUAGGAUAUGGAGUGUUCGUGGGUAAAUAUUAAAUAUUGAGCUUUAUAUAUUGGAAAUAUUCUUGUUCAACUCUCUAUUGCAUAGAGAAUAAUAUAAACCCAUGUUAAGAGUUUGUUAUAACUAAAACUCAAUGACCAACUCUUUGUCCUGAUUUAUUCUCUGUUUUAUGCCAUCAGUAGAUACCAUGUUUUAGAAUCUUUUCUGUUUAUUUUCUUGAAUUUGAAAUAUUGCCUUCGAUGUCAUAACCACAACCAAGUGAUUAGUGAUGAAAGCAUGUUUUGAGCAUCAACUUUACAAAUCACUAUGGCUUUGAAAGAGAAUCUUAGUGUCAAGUAGACAUCAUUCAGAGAGAUCUUUGUGUUUAAUCCAGUUUAAGAAGUAACUUUAGUCUAAAUGCUGCUGCGUAUAUUUAAAGUUUUCAACUUAAUGAAAUAUUUUGUUUUGGACUUAGUUUUGUACACAUUGGAGCUCCCAAAAACAGACCAUCUAAUGUAGAAACGUAUUUAAGCUAUUUACUCUUGGAUCUGUAUGUGUAGCCUAUAAAAAAUACUAUGUGUAUUUGAUUUCUUAUGGUGAAACUUUAAGUAUAUUUGUGUCAAGUUCAUGGGGUUAAGCUUGAUAAGUUGGAAAAGCCGCAAGGUUCUGGUUUCAUUGUCGAGUAUUUUCGCCGCUUGAAUGUUUUUCAUUCUUUUAGUUAUAGCAUGACAGAUUCCAUGACUGGUGAGAACAUAGUAAAAUGAGGGAUAUAUGGGUUGAAAUGGAAAGAAUAGUGUCAUGUAUGUUUCCAUCAUUAUUAAACAGCAGAGCAUCUCUAAUUCCUAUUACUUUUCUUUGUUUGCAUGUACACCGGAGUCGAAGAGUCUUACUUUAAGACUCGACGUCGCCACAAGGCUUGAAACGUACACCUACAUCUCCUCCAGACCCUUCGCUCACCCAAAUACAUCCGGGCAGAAUUUAUGAGGGGCCAGAAAUGGCGAACGUUCUAUCACAAUAUUCCUUUACUCACCGGCUAUGAAUAUUAUGUUCUGCCUCAGUUGCUUUGCAGUUUGUUUUUGUUUAGUUAACGUCUACUUUGAUGACUUGUCGUAUGUCUUGACCCUUUUUUUUCAUUCUCUGUUUCAGAUACAUGGUCCGGGUAAUUAGUAUAAUCUAGUUGCCGAUAUUUCGCUUAAUUAAGAAA